RNAcentral lists this unclassified non-coding RNA (349 nucleotides) under soil metagenome. Its description in RNAcentral is "partial contains 5.8S ribosomal RNA, internal transcribed spacer 2, and large subunit ribosomal RNA". The stretch from base 1 to 119 matches the Rfam family "5.8S ribosomal RNA", at positions 35 to 154 of the family's 154-position model. The record is from RNAcentral.
GAUGAAGAACGUAGCGAAAUGCGAUAAGUAAUGCGAAUUGCAGAAUCCGUGAGUCAUCGAAUCUUUGAACGCACAUUGCGCCCUCUGGUAUUCCGGAGGGCAUGCCUGUUCGAGCGUCAUUAUCACCCCUCAAGCCCGGCUUGUUGUUGGAUGCAGCGCUUAUCCCGCUCCUCCCAAAGAUAAUGACGGCGUCUGCGACGACUCCUGUACACUGAGCUUUCGGGCACGUACACGGCUAGAAGUCCAGACCCGGUCGCCGUCCCCCCCGCGGGGACACCCAUUACCACAAGGUUGACCUCGGAUCAGGUAGGAAUACCCGCUGAACUUAAGCAUAUCAAUAAGCGGAAGA